Solea solea (common sole) is the source of this 67-nucleotide small nucleolar RNA. RefSeq annotates it as small nucleolar RNA SNORD49. The transcript has a single exon. Lineage: Eukaryota; Metazoa; Chordata; Actinopteri; Pleuronectiformes; Soleidae. The record is from RefSeq and is a predicted model, not a curated record.
GUCAGUGAUGAAAACCUGGAAUAGGAAGUGCCGUCUGAUGCGAUGUUUCUCAUCCAAUUUUCUGAGA